Molecule: small RNA, 252 nt
Filed under: Pan troglodytes (chimpanzee)
Lineage: Eukaryota; Metazoa; Chordata; Mammalia; Primates; Hominidae
Description: processed transcript
Source: RNAcentral
CGCCUCCUCCUCCUCCACUCCCCCCCUUUAUUACCCUUUGUGUCAUCCUCCACAGCUCCAGGGAAGGCACUCAAAAGUGGGGGGCAGGAAAGGAUCGUUAAACACCAGUUCACGGGGAGUUGGAGGGCUGACGACACUACAGAAUCUGGACUCUAUGACUUGUUUUGGGAGUAACAGGAGGGUGUGAUGAGGAAUUUCUGUGAAGGUGACUUCUGGAUCCUCAGCUUCAAUUACUGAAACUAUGGAGAGACA